CCAGUGCAUCCGAGGACGGUGCACGGUCAGGAGAGGCCGCAUAAGCAUAUUGCGAUGACGAAUACCCCGAUGACGUUGGUGUGCCCUUAGCUGCGUGUACUCAUCCUUCCGCUUCCUCAAGCACACACGAACCACAUAUUGGUGACUAUGGCGAGCAAGAUGCCGUUCUCCUGUAGAAGAGAUCACCAGUGCAUUCGAGGACGAUGCACGGUCAGGAGAGGCCGUAUAAGCAUAUUGCGAUGACGAAUACGCCGAUGAUGUUGGUGAGCCUUCAGCUGCGUGUACUGAUCCUUCUGCUUCCUCAAGCACACACGAACCACAUAUUUUUGACUAUGGCGAGCAAGAUGCCGUUCUCCUGUAGAAGAAA
This is a long non-coding RNA of Pieris napi, 367 nucleotides long. RefSeq lists it as uncharacterized. The record is from RefSeq and is a predicted model, not a curated record. The transcript has 3 exons. NCBI's taxonomy places the organism in Eukaryota, Metazoa, Arthropoda, Insecta, Lepidoptera, Pieridae.